RNA transcript from Heterocephalus glaber (naked mole-rat), 6168 nucleotides. It is a transcript of the gene named 3-oxo-5-alpha-steroid 4-dehydrogenase 1 pseudogene, with no coding region annotated. NCBI's taxonomy places the organism in Eukaryota, Metazoa, Chordata, Mammalia, Rodentia, Bathyergidae. The record is from RefSeq and is a predicted model, not a curated record.
ACCGCACUGAUGCGAGCCGAAGCUGGUCACGUAGACGAAGCGCGCCAGGUCCUUCUCCCGACCCCGACCUGCCGGCAUCAUCCUCUGAGUCUCUCUAUGUUGUCCAGGCUGCCCUCAAGAUCACCAUCCUCCUGCUUCAGCCUCUCAAGUGCUGAGAUUAUUUGCAUGUGCAAUUCCACCCAGCUCUGUUAGGUUGCCACUCCCAAAUCAGUCAGCAUCUGAGAAGACUGGAGAGGAUAUGCGGAACAUGAAGUCACCUCGGCACCUUUCUUCUCCCUGAAACGGAGAGACAACAAAUCUGAUACAAAGCAGUUCAUGCCGCCAGAAGAACAGAAAUAGAAGAAGUACAAUGGACCACCAAAAAGACCAAAGCCACUGCACCUCAAGAACCUGUUUUAGCCUACCUGUGUGGAGCAACGCAGAGUUGUCUCACCCUCCAAUUGCCUGGUGUCUGCAUUGAGCUCCAAGAGCAGUCAGCGUGGAUGACUGCUAGAUAGGAUUCCUGGCACAUGACAAGAGAACUUGGUGGAUGAAGUCCAUGCAGUCAGCUCCUUCUCACCAGACAGAUCUCAGCCCAAAGGCCCCUCCUGAGAGCAGCCACCCUGGACUCCUCUCUGUCUCUGGUCCUCCCUCAUGUACCUCCUCUAACACAGUCUGAAACAACCUCUCUUAUUCAACAGGUUAUUCAUCUAAUGAAUGUAACCCUCGCACGGCACCAUGACCCCUGCCACUGCCACAUAAAAACAAGGACCUUGACCUUUUCAUUCCCACAGUAUGUAUUCAGGUGCCUCCUAUAGUGCCUGACACACUCAGGCAUGCCACACUGAUUUGUUGCAUAAAUGAACAAAAAACUAAACAAAUGAUAAAAUCACAAAAGAGUACAUACAGAAGCACGCAAAGGUAAAAAUCCUACGAGGACCAUCUUUCUCACAAGGUCUUGGCAAACAGCACAGUCCUUCUUUUCUUCACUCUUUCUCUCCUCUCAGCUCUACCACCUUCCCCACACUCUGACCACUGUCACAUCUUCCAGAUCCUACCUUUUUCCUCAAAAAUUUCACCCAUCUCCACAACAAGCUCAUCACUUUGUCCAUUCUUAGGGAAUUGAUCAAUGCUUUCAGUGUCUUCCAGGCAGGCACCAUGGCUUUCUUUGCUCUGUCUGAGCUGCUAGAGAGGGAAGUGGUCAGAGUAGAGUCCCACAAAUGAGGGUGAAUAUAACUGUCCCAACUCCAAUUGAGUCCCUGUCCACACAGCUGUUUCUCUGUACUAAGAGAUAAUUUUCCUGGCUCUGUAGAGUCCAAGCUCCUGUGUAGCGAAAGCUUCUCAUUUCUUUUGUGAGCAUGAUCUGUGCCAGACCUUUAAGAACAAUCCUUUCUUAUUCACCAUUCAACCUUGGUGCUAUUUCAAAAGACACUACAUUUGACAUUCACUGUAUUUCUAAAGGAUGGCACCAGCUUCCCCAAGUCAGUUUCCCUAGCUCUCUGACUCUAGUUUUCUGAUAAAAGGUAAAGAGGGCCUGCUGGCCCAUUCUACCACUUGUAGCCAGUGUCAGGCCUCAGGACUAGAGUGUGCUGCUGCCUCGGUCCUUCCACUGACAUUGCAUGGUCAGUCUCCACUUUUGAAACUUUUUUUAUCUCUUCCAUGAUGUCCCAUUGCUGUGAGGACAAAAUGCAAUCCUCUGAGGAAUCUGGAUGCCUGCCUCUUCAGCCUUUUCUCACCUACGCCUCCAGCCAAGCUUUACCAAGCUUUUUUAAUUUCCUCAAAAGCAUUCAGUCUGAUUUCAUUUAGGAGCCAUUGCAAAGAGCAUCCACCUUACCUCAGCUGACUUUCUUCUCAUCCUUCAGAACUGUUUAUUGGCCCCUUUCUCACAAAGUAUGCCCUUCCCCCAGGAUGUACUGAGAACCUGAGAACCACCCAGAAUAAGCUUAUUAUAAUAAAUUAUAAUAACCUGUUAACAGAUCUACCUCCCCAGCUAGGCCACAGUGAUGGGGGGGGGUCAUCAAUGUUUUUUGUUCAUUAAUGUAUUGACUUGUUUGUGUCUGUCUCCCUCAACGGUAAUGACCUUGAUGAAAUCAGGAACAAUAUUUUUUGUCCACUGUUAUAUUCUCAAUGUGCAGCAGAGCAGCUGGCACAUAGUAGGGCCAAAGUUCAACACAGCCCCAUUUUUAUCUCAUCACCACCUAACUUCCACUGAACACUUUGUGUGAGUUGGCUCUGUGAUAAGCAUUUAUAGACUAAGUCAUUUAAUUCUCACAGUCAAUGUAUGAGAUAGGCAUAGUAGUCCCCCUUUAUCCACAGGGAACACAUUCUAAGACCUGCAAUGGAUGCCUGAAACCUACAACAGUACUGAUCCCUGUAUAUGUAUGGGUGGGUAUUUAUAUAUGUAUACAAUACAUAUAUGGUUUUGUAUACAUAUAUGUAUGUUUUUUCCUAUACAUGCAUACUUAUGACAAACUUUCACCUUUUUACUUAAAUGCCUUUAUGGCUUCUCUUUGACAUAUCUGAAUUGCCAGCAUAACUAACCUUGUACUUUGAGACCAUUCUUCAGCAAAAUAUGAGUUACCUGAACACAAGCCCUGCAAGACUGCAGCAGUCAAUCUGAUAGCCAAGAAAGUUACCACCUAGGGGCAGUAGUGGAUAUAACAUGGAAAGACUGAACAAAGGGAUGAUACAUGUCCUGGGUGAAAUAGAGCAAGAUGACACAAGAUUUCAUCAAACUAACCAGAAUGGUGCAUGAUUUUAAAACUUAUGAAUUAUUUAUUUUUAGAAGUUUCCAUUUAAUAUUUUUGAACCACGGUUGGCCAGGAGUAACUAAAACCAAUAUAAGAGAAGACUUCUGUACUCCCAUUGUAUGAAGUAGGAACUAUUAUCAGCCCCAUUUUACAGUCAAGGACAACAGGGCACAGUAGCUCAGCCAAAGCACAGACAGAAAGUUCUAGAAUCAUAAAGGCUUUCAAACUCAGGUAACGUGGCUCCAGCACCUUAACCCAUACUCCAUACUGUCCUUAUCACAACAUUUAUUGCAUGUGCUGUAGGUGCCUCUUCCCCGGAAGAAAUGAACCAAGAACUAGCCUUUUAGUUGCUCAGCUAAUAUCAUCCACCAGGUGGCAGUCACAGCUCCCAGAUAAAAUGCUGUUACGUUGUAUCGCUCCGUACCCCCUUCCCUCCUGUGAGAAACUCGAUUUUUUUGUUAUUACCAAGAGGUGAGCAGUCUGGAUUCAAAGCACAACUUUCUGAUUGAGCUUUUUGAAGAUGGAACUUGGAGAACGUGCUUGUCCCAUCCGCCGCGUACAUACACUAUGCGGCAAGUGGCCCAGGCUACUGGGCACCAGAGCGGGUGGAGAACCAGGACACCCCUAGUGCACUGCACAGAAUACAGGAUCCUCUGUGUAAGAUGUAAUUUCAGUCCACAGAAGAGAUGAUUUGCUCCUCCCUCCCCCACUCCUCCUCAAGCAGCUGCUAGAGCUGAGGGGAAAACUAAAACAUACUUAUUCCUAGUCACGAUUCCAUUUGGCCAGUGGCAGGCGUGGGGACAUAGGGUUCCCUGAGGAAAUAUCCUCAGAUGACUGUUAGUGAAGGGCCCUCCCAUGUCAUCUGUGGCUGAAAUGCUUUUCCUUCACCUGCUGCUGCUUGGAAGAAGUAUGAUUCCAAGUGGGGAUCAGGGGUUGGAUGGUCCUUCCUCAUAAGUUACCCCAACUUUCACAGAGCUAGCCCCAGGACUUACUUAAGAAGGAAAGUGGCCCAAUUCCAUGGGAGGGUGAGAGGCAAAAUGUGUUCUUUAGAAUGAAGAAAUUGUCAUAUUAGUUCAAACAAAUGCAUGUUGUUUUAACCCUCAAAAUGUAAUAUAACAUAGUUGUAAUGUAACAUAAUUGGGUUCUUUAUGUUUCAGUCAGAGGAUAUGAUAAUGGUACCCAAGUCUAAAGGUGCCUGAGAGCUAAAUCUGUUCUCAGUCAAAUCAGUGAACCUCUAAGGCCAUUGCUCAACUUCAAGAUAAUAUCUACUGUCUCCAUCUUCAGCCUUUGGGAAUAGGAAAAUCCUGGCACCACAGUAACAAGACCAACACUUGAGUUAGGACUGAAUGGAUGAGAGGAUCCACCCCUGUGGGGAGCUGAGAAAUGAUUCUCUAGAUCUGGUAGCAAGAAAAUUGAACACCCUACCCCUGUACCCUGCCCCUACUCCUCUGCUGCCUCACCACCACUAAACCAACAUGACCAUGUGUUUGACUCCUAGUUUUUUAGCUCAGUUUCCUCUAAAGUGUUUCCUGUGUAAUCAUUUCUAACUCAUUUUCCUCCCAUAACCUCUCUUCAAAUUAAAAUAAUGCAUAAUGAGAAUUAGAGUCUGUGCAGUGUUUCUGAACACCAAGCACUACUUGUUAAAUCAGAGUGCACUUUCAAACAAGCAAAGAAUUUUAAUGAGACUUCAGAGGACAGGGAGGGAACUGUACUAAAAGUCUCUUUGUAAUCAAUAUCCUUCUUCUUCUGUGUGUCCAAGGAGGAUUAGAAUGCAUUGUUUGCUUCUAUUUCAUGAAGGUUUUGUCUUUGCUAAUGGUUUCCAAGGGAAAAGGAUUAGUAAUGCGUUGUACAUUGUAUUUCUUCCCAAAAUAGUAGAGCACGUGGGAUUUUGCCAACACCCAGUUGGUUCACAUGUGUCUUCCUCACUGCCCGUGUUUCCUCCAACUUGCCUGAAUGCUGCUGUCAUCAUCUUGGCUCAAUUCACCAUAAUCCACCAAAAUACACCAAUAUUACCCACCAAGACUACUGCUUUCACCUCCUAAAUUGUUCUUCCACCCACCCCACAGUCAGGUCUCUGCACAGUUGCCAGAGUGAUCACAAAUCAGUUCAUAUCCCUCCCUUACAGCUUUCUGCAGUGGCUCUCCCUAAACCAAACUGAAAAUGAAAUUGUUUAGACUUACAAUCAGAGCUCAAAUUAUGAAACUACUAGAAGAAAACUUAAAGGAAAUGUUUCAUGGCUUUGGACUGAGCGAGGAAUUUUUGAGCAAGAUCUCAAAUACCAUGGCAACAAAAGCAAAAACAGACAAGUGGGAUGAUAUCAAACUUAAAACCUGCAUAGCAAAGGAAAUACUCAGUGUGAAGAGACAAACUUCAGAAUGGGAGAAAGCUUUUGAAAUAAUAUACAAUGAUAAUUAGUUAAUAUCUAUGGUACACCAGGAAACAACCUACUUAAAAAUGGACAAAAGACCUGAGAAAACAUCUCUUAAAAGAAGACAUACAAAUGGUCAGUAGAUGUAUGAAAAAUGCCAACAUCACUAAUCAUCAGGGAAAAGCAAAUCAAAACUACAAAAGGAGUUAGAAUAGCUAUUAUAAAGGAGGGGAAAAUGUGGAGAAAAGAGAAACCUUGGGAACUGUUGGUGGAAAUGUGCUAAUAUAGCCACUGUGGAAAACAGUAUAGAGACUCCUCAACAACCACAAAAUUAAAAAUAAAGCUGAAAUAAAAUCUUAAGUCUCCACCCUAGCCAGUAAGAGGCUUAUGUGAUGCCUCCAUCUCACUCAGCUCUGCUCCUGCCCCACCCUCCAGCCCAGCCCCACUGCUCUUCAUGCAUACUGAUCAAGCUCUGUCUUGCCUCAGUACUUUUGCACAUGCUAUCUGCUCUGCUCAGGAUACUUUCCUCAGAUUUCAGCAUGGCUUGUUUAGUCUAAUUAUUCAGAUUUCACCUAUCAGAGAAGCCAUCUUUCAACUCCAAGUUAAAGUAGACAUACUGCUUCCUAGUUUUCUCCAGACUGUCCAAUUUUAUUCUCCUCACAAUACCUACCAUUAACAUUUUCUUGUUUAUAGGGAUGUCUACUUGCUAAUUGUUUGAUUUUUCCUUCCAGAAUGGAAAUGCAAAGAGGAAAAAGACUGUUCUGAUUUUGUUCCCACAAUAUCCCAGAGACCAGGACAGUGCAAAUUCUUCUUUUGUGUGUGUGCAAAUUCUUAUUAGGUGAAUGAUUAAGCGAACAAGAAAAUUACCCGAUGUAAUUCCUUUCUGCAGGUUGACAACUUUGGCUAACAGUUAUCAAGUUCAAAAUUCAGAUUUGUGGAUCCAUGUAUAAUCAAUCCUCUGUAUCUCAGGGUUCUGUGUCUGCAAAUUUAACUGAGCUUGAAUUAAAAAUAUUCAGAAAAAAUUUGCAUUUGUAGUGCAUAUGUACAGACUUUAUUCCUUAUCAUUAUUCC